GAUGAACGCUAGCGGCAGGCUUAAUACAUGCAAGUCGAGGGGCAGCACGGGUAGCAAUAUCUGGUGGCGACCGGCGCACGGGUGCGUAACGCGUAUGCAACCUACCUUCAACUGGGGAAUAGCCCCGAGAAAUCGGGAUUAAUACCCCAUAACAUUCGUUUAAGGCAUCUUAGACGAAUUAAAGUUCAGGCGGUUGAAGAUGGGCAUGCGUGACAUUAGCUAGUUGGUGAGGUAACGGCCCACCAAGGCUACGAUGUCUAGGGGUUCUGAGAGGAUGAUCCCCCACACUGGUACUGAGACACGGACCAGACUCCUACGGGUGGCUG
This 326-nucleotide ribosomal RNA is filed under the name uncultured Bacteroidota bacterium. RNAcentral's name for it is "bacterial SSU rRNA". It matches the Rfam family "Bacterial small subunit ribosomal RNA", at positions 28 to 351 of the family's 1533-position model. Lineage: Bacteria; Pseudomonadati; Bacteroidota. The record is from RNAcentral.